GCCCUGAUGGUGCAACGGCUAAGCACUUGGCUGCUAACCAAAAGGUUGGUGGUUUGAACCCACCCUGUGGCU
This 72-nucleotide transfer RNA is filed under the name Loxodonta africana (African savanna elephant). It matches the Rfam family "tRNA". Rfam says of the family: Transfer RNA (tRNA) molecules are approximately 80 nucleotides in length. Their secondary structure includes four short double-helical elements and three loops (D, anti-codon, and T loops). Further hydrogen bonds mediate the characteristic L-shaped molecular structure. tRNAs have two regions of fundamental functional importance: the anti-codon, which is responsible for specific mRNA codon recognition, and the 3' end, to which the tRNAs corresponding amino acid is attached (by aminoacyl-tRNA synthetases). tRNAs cope with the degeneracy of the genetic code in two manners: having more than one tRNA (with a specific anti-codon) for a particular amino acid; and 'wobble' base-pairing, i.e. permitting non-standard base-pairing at the 3rd anti-codon position. The record is from Rfam by way of RNAcentral. Lineage: Eukaryota; Metazoa; Chordata; Mammalia; Proboscidea; Elephantidae.